AUACGUAGGGUGCAAGCGUUAAUCGGAAUUACUGGGCGUAAAGCGUGCGCAGGUGGUUUUGUAAGUCAGAUGUGAAAUCCCCGGGCUUAACCUGGGAACUGCGUUUGAAACUGCAAGGCUAGAGUGUGGCAGAGGGGGGUGGAAUUCCGCGUGUAGCAGUGAAAUGCGUAGAUAUGUGGAGGAACACCGAUGGCGAAGGCAGCCCCCUGGGUCAGCACUGACGCUCAGGCACGAAAGCAUGGGGAGCAAACAGGAUUAGAAACCCCAGUAGUCC
Molecule: ribosomal RNA, 274 nt
Filed under: uncultured bacterium
Lineage: Bacteria
Description: partial 16S ribosomal RNA
Rfam family: Bacterial small subunit ribosomal RNA
Source: RNAcentral